This 290-nucleotide unclassified non-coding RNA is filed under the name uncultured fungus. RNAcentral's name for it is "partial contains 5.8S rRNA, ITS2 and 28S rRNA". It matches the Rfam family "Eukaryotic large subunit ribosomal RNA", at positions 669 to 961 of the family's 3401-position model. The record is from RNAcentral. Lineage: Eukaryota; Fungi.
GAGGAGUCUAACAUGCAUGCGAGUAUUUGGGUGGAAAACCCUUAUGCGUAGCGAAAGCGAAAAGGAGGGAAUCUUUACUGAUGCACCAUCGACCGCGUUUGAUUAUUACUAUUACAACGUGAGUAUGAGCAUGUAUGCUGGGACCCGAAAGAUGGUGAACUAUGCCUGAAUAGGGUGAAGCCAGGGGAAACUCUGGUGGAGGCUCGUAGCGAUUCUGACGUGCAAAUCGAUCGUCGAAUCUGGGUAUAGGGGCGAAAGACUAAUCGAACCAUCUAGUAGCUGGUUCCCUC